AGCUCCAAUAGCGUAUAUUAAAGUUGUUGUGGUUAAAAAGCUCGUAGUUGGAUCUCAACAGACUUGGAUCGGUUUACUUUGUGUAAUACUGAUCCAAAGCUGUGCUUUUGUCGGAGGUUUAGGGGUGCUCUUAACCGAGUGUCUCUGAGUGCCGACAGGUUUACUUUGAAAAAAUUAGAGUGCUUCAAGCAGGCUGUUAUGCCAGAAUAUUUGUGCAUGGAAUAAUAGAAUAGGAUGUUGAUCUUAUUUUGUUGGUUUUCGAGACUUGACAUAAUGAUUAAUAGGGACAGUCGGGGGCAUUGGUAUGGCGGGGUUAGAGGUGAAAUUCUUGGAUCCUCGCCAGACCAACAAAAGCGAAAGCAUUUGCCAAGAAUGUCUUCA
Molecule: ribosomal RNA, 381 nt
Filed under: marine copepod environmental sample
Lineage: Eukaryota; Metazoa; Arthropoda; Copepoda
Description: SSU rRNA
Rfam family: Eukaryotic small subunit ribosomal RNA
Source: RNAcentral